This 925-nucleotide ribosomal RNA is filed under the name Megasporoporia setulosa. RNAcentral describes it as "partial large subunit ribosomal RNA". It matches the Rfam family "Eukaryotic large subunit ribosomal RNA", at positions 24 to 932 of the family's 3401-position model. Lineage: Eukaryota; Fungi; Basidiomycota; Agaricomycetes; Polyporales; Polyporaceae. The record is from RNAcentral.
ACCCCGCCUGGAAACUAAGCAUAUCAAUAAGCGGAGGAAAAGAAACUAACAAGGAUUCCCCUAGUAACUGCGAGUGAAGCGGGAAAAGCUCAAAUUUAAAAUCUGGCGGUCUUUGGCUGUCCGAGUUGUAGUCUGGAGAAGUGCUUUCCGCGCUGGACCGUGUAUAAGUCUCUUGGAACAGAGCGUCAUAGAGGGUGAGAAUCCCGUCUUUGACACGGACUACCAGUGCUUUGUGAUGCGCUCUCAAAGAGUCGAGUUGUUUGGGAAUGCAGCUCAAAAUGGGUGGUAAAUUCCAUCUAAAGCUAAAUAUUGGCGAGAGACCGAUAGCGAACAAGUACCGUGAGGGAAAGAUGAAAAGCACUUUGGAAAGAGAGUUAAACAGUACGUGAAAUUGCUGAAAGGGAAACGCUUGAAGUCAGUCGCGUCUGCCGGAACUCAGCCUUGCUUUUGCUUGGUGCACUUUCCGGUUGACGGGCCAGCAUCGAUUUUGACCGUCGGAAAAGGGCUGGAGAAAUGUGGCACCUCCGGGUGUGUUAUAGUCUCCAGUCGCAUACGGCGGUUGGGAUCGAGGAACGCAGCGCGCCGCAAGGCAGGGGUUCGCCCACUUUCGCGCUUAGGAUGCUGGCGUAAUGGCUUUAAACGACCCGUCUUGAAACACGGACCAAGGAGUCUAACAUGCCUGCGAGUGUUUGGGUGGUAAACCCGAGCGCGUAAUGAAAGUGAAAGUUGAGACCUCUGUCGUGGAGGGCAUCGACGCCCGGACCUGACGUUCUCUGAAGGAUCCGCGGUAGAGCAUGUAUGUUGGGACCCGAAAGAUGGUGAACUAUGCCUGAAUAGGGUGAAGCCAGAGGAAACUCUGGUGGAGGCUCGUAGCGAUUCUGACGUGCAAAUCGAUCGUCAAAUUUGGGUAUAGGGGCGAAAGACU